GAUGAACUCUGGCGGCGUGCCUAAUACAUGCAAGUCGAGCGAACAGAUGAGGAGCUUGCUCCUCUGACGUUAGCGGCGGACGGGUGAGUAACACGUGGAUAACCUACCUAUAAGACUGGGAUAACUUCGGGAAACCGGAGCUAAUACCGGAUAAUAUAUUGAACCGCAUGGUUCAAUAGUGAAAGACGGUUUUGCUGUCACUUAUAGAUGGAUCCGCGCCGCAUUAGCUAGUUGGUAAGGUAACGGCUUACCAAGGCAACGAUGCGUAGCCGACCUGAGAGGGUGAUCGGCCACACUGGAACUGAGACACGGUCCAGACUCCUACGGGAGGCAGCAGUAGGGAAUCUUCCGCAAUGGGCGAAAGCCUGACGGAGCAACGCCGCGUGAGUGAUGAAGGUCUUCGGAUCGUAAAACUCUGUUAUUAGGGAAGAACAAAUGUGUAAGUAACUAUGCACGUCUUGACGGUACCUAAUCAGAAAGCCACGGCUAACUACGUG
Molecule: ribosomal RNA, 497 nt
Filed under: uncultured bacterium
Lineage: Bacteria
Description: partial 16S ribosomal RNA
Rfam family: Bacterial small subunit ribosomal RNA
Source: RNAcentral